This 321-nucleotide ribosomal RNA is filed under the name Triticum aestivum (bread wheat). RNAcentral describes it as "partial small subunit ribosomal RNA". The record is from RNAcentral. Lineage: Eukaryota; Viridiplantae; Streptophyta; Magnoliopsida; Poales; Poaceae.
CUGAUCUUCAAGUGUCGUUUCUCUGUUCGGAUUUGGAAUGUGGUCUUCUCAUGGCUCGGGCUUGCUAUCCCCACGGCUCCGUGGCUCCUGUUCGAUUCAGUGAAAUCUUGGUGGGAUGCGGUUCUCUCUGAUAAUACACUCCCGAUGAAGGCCCUAUCUUCCCUGUUACUUCUCGUGGGAUGGGAGAUAUGGAAUGAAAGGAAUGCUCGUGUCUUCAGGAGCAAAGCGGCGCCGGUGGCGAUUGUCAUGCGACGCAUCAAAGAUGAAGUUUCGAUUUGGGCCACUGCAGGCGCUAAGCAUUUGCGUAAUGUAAUACCGUGA